RNAcentral lists this ribosomal RNA (495 nucleotides) under uncultured bacterium. Its description in RNAcentral is "bacterial SSU rRNA". It matches the Rfam family "Bacterial small subunit ribosomal RNA", at positions 351 to 856 of the family's 1533-position model. The record is from RNAcentral.
GCAGUGGGGAAUAUUGCACAAUGGGCGCAAGCCUGAUGCAGCGACGCCGCGUGGGGGAUGACGGCCUUCGGGUUGUAAACCUCUUUCAGUAGGGACGAAGCGCAAGUGACGGUACCUACAGAAGAAGGACCGGCCAACUACGUGCCAGCAGCCGCGGUAAUACGUAGGGUCCGAGCGUUGUCCGGAAUUACUGGGCGUAAAGAGCUCGUAGGUGGUUUGUCGCGUUGUUCGUGAAAACCGGGGGCUUAACCCUCGGCGUGCGGGCGAUACGGGCAGACUUGAGUACUGCAGGGGAGACUGGAAUUCCUGGUGUAGCGGUGGAAUGCGCAGAUAUCAGGAGGAACACCGGUGGCGAAGGCGGGUCUCUGGGCAGUAACUGACGCUGAGGAGCGAAAGCGUGGGGAGCGAACAGGAUUAGAUACCCUGGUAGUCCACGCCGUAAACGGUGGGUACUAGGUGUGGGUUUCCUUCCUUGGGAUCCGUGCCGUAGCUAAC